RNAcentral lists this ribosomal RNA (263 nucleotides) under Blastocystis hominis. Its description in RNAcentral is "partial 18S ribosomal RNA". It matches the Rfam family "Eukaryotic small subunit ribosomal RNA", at positions 62 to 348 of the family's 1831-position model. Lineage: Eukaryota; Bigyra; Opalinata; Blastocystidae. The record is from RNAcentral.
AGUAUAAUAGUUAACUUUGAAACUGCGAAUGGCUCAUAUAUCAUUAUAGUUUAUUUGAUGAAGAAUACUAAUUGGAUAACCGUAGUAAUUCUAGAGCUAAUACAUGUAUAAAGUCUUGUAGACUGCAUUUAUUAGAAUGAAAACCAUAGGUUUCGGCCUAUUCGUGAGUAAUAAUAACUAAUCAUAUCGUAUGCUUAUGUAACGAUGUGUCUUUCAAGUUUCUGCCCUAUUCACUUUCGAUGGUAGUGGAUUGGACUACCAUG